RNAcentral lists this ribosomal RNA (201 nucleotides) under Hetaerina capitalis. RNAcentral describes it as "partial large subunit ribosomal RNA". The record is from RNAcentral. Lineage: Eukaryota; Metazoa; Arthropoda; Insecta; Odonata; Calopterygidae.
AAAGAUUAUCUUACUAGAUGAGUGUAUAAUUUAUUUAAGAGAAUUAUCUUUUAUUUUAGUAUUUUAUCGAAAAAGUUAAUUUAGUAAUAGUUUACUAGUACUGUAGGGUAAUGUUGAAAUAUUUUGAAAUAAUUAUUUCAUAAAAAGCAUACAUUUUGUAGUACCUUUUGUAUCAGGGUUAAUUUAUUUUAUCUAAUGUAU